This 844-nucleotide small RNA is filed under the name Pan troglodytes (chimpanzee). RNAcentral describes it as "processed transcript". The record is from RNAcentral. Lineage: Eukaryota; Metazoa; Chordata; Mammalia; Primates; Hominidae.
AGACAAUUACUACGGUACCCCAAAGCCGCCAGCAGAACCAGCACCAUUAUUGUUAAAUGUAACAGACCAGAUACUUCCAGGAGCCACUCCAAGUGCUGAAGGAAAACGGAAGAGGAAUAAAUCAGUGAGCAACAUGGAGAAAGCCAGUAUAGAGCCUCCUGAGGAGGAAGAGGAAGAGAGGCCUGUGGUCAAUGGAAAUGGAGUAGUAGUAACACCAGUACAGUGUCUCUGCCCUGCCUUCGUGUUCUUCACAUUCUUCACAUUCACCAGACACCAGAUUUCUAAGAAGACUGAGAAACAUGUUCCUAGCCAGGUGCGGAGGCUCAUGCCUGUAAUUCCAGCACUUUGGGAGGUCAAGGCAGGCAGAUCACUUUCAUAGGAGUUUGAGACCAGCCUGGGCAACAUGGCAAAACCCCAUCUCUGCAUGGCAAAACCCCAUCUCUGCAAAACACACAAACACAAAAAUUAGCCAGGCAUGGUAGCACACACCUGUAGUCCCAGCUUCUUGGGAGGCUGAGGUGGGAGAAUCACCUGAGCCCAAGGAGGUCAAGGUUGCAAUGAGCCAUGAUGGUGCCACUGCACUUCAGCCUGGGCAACAGAGUGAGACCUCGUCUAAGACAAACAAAAAGAGAGAGAGAGAAACAUGUCACUUAAAUUUUAGUUAACACUGCCCUAUAUCAACUAACUAUAGUAAUAAUUAAUAUCAGACUUCAAUUCAGAGCAUGAAUAUUAUAAUCAAUGAGGCACAUUUGGAGAAUAUAAAAAACAUAUUGAGGUAACAUUAUUCCAUUACGAAGGAAUAUUGAUAAUAGUAAUAAGCAAUAAAAUAAUUCACUUCUUUUGA